GCGAGGUGGUGUGAAUCCUAGAAAGUUUCUCGUAGUCCGGAUUGGAGUCUGCAACUCGACUCCAUGAAGUCGGAAUCGCUAGUAAUCGCGGAUCAGCAUGCCGCGGCGAAUACGUUCUCGGGUCUUGUACACACCGCCCGUCACACCAUGGAAGUGGAUUGCACCAGAAGUAGAUAGUCUAACCUUCGGGAGGGCGUUUACCACGGUGUGCUUCAUGACUGGGGUGAAGUCGUAACAAGGUAGCCGUAGGGGGACCUGUGGCUGGAUCACCUCCUU
This 276-nucleotide ribosomal RNA is filed under the name uncultured SAR86 cluster bacterium. RNAcentral's name for it is "partial 16S ribosomal RNA". It matches the Rfam family "Bacterial small subunit ribosomal RNA", at positions 1257 to 1532 of the family's 1533-position model. Lineage: Bacteria; Pseudomonadati; Pseudomonadota; Gammaproteobacteria. The record is from RNAcentral.